RNAcentral lists this ribosomal RNA (253 nucleotides) under uncultured bacterium. RNAcentral's name for it is "partial 16S ribosomal RNA". It matches the Rfam family "Bacterial small subunit ribosomal RNA", at positions 524 to 776 of the family's 1533-position model. The record is from RNAcentral.
UACGUAGGGGGCAAGCGUUGUCCGGAAUCAUUGGGCGUAAAGCGCGUGUAGGCGGCUGUCUAAGUCCGAUGUGAAAGCCCGGGGCUCAACCCCGGGAGGCGGGUGGAUACUGGUCAGCUCGAGUCCGGAAGAGGAGUGUGGAAUUCCUGGUGUAGCGGUGAAAUGCGCAGAUAUCAGGAGGAACACCAAUGGCGAAGGCAGCACUCUGGGACGGUACUGACGCUGAGACGCGAAAGCGUGGGGAGCAAACAGG